Molecule: ribosomal RNA, 2813 nt
Filed under: Shigella flexneri
Lineage: Bacteria; Pseudomonadati; Pseudomonadota; Gammaproteobacteria; Enterobacterales; Enterobacteriaceae
Description: partial 23S ribosomal RNA
Rfam family: Bacterial large subunit ribosomal RNA
Source: RNAcentral
GGGUUGUGAGGUUAAGCGACUAAGCGUACACGGUGGAUGCCCUGGCAGUCAGAGGCGAUGAAGGACGUGCUAAUCUGCGAUAAGCGUCGGUAAGGUGAUAUGAACCGUUAUAACCGGCGAUUUCCGAAUGGGGAAACCCAGUGUGAUUCGUCACACUAUCAUUAACUGAAUCCAUAGGUUAAUGAGGCGAACCGGGGGAACUGAAACAUCUAAGUACCCCGAGGAAAAGAAAUCAACCGAGAUUCCCCCAGUAGCGGCGAGCGAACGGGGAGCAGCCCAGAGCCUGAAUCAGUGUGUGUGUUAGUGGAAGCGUCUGGAAAGGCGUGCGAUACAGGGUGACAGCCCCGUACACAAAAAUGCACAUACUGUGAGCUCGAUGAGUAGGGCGGGACACGUGGUAUCCUGUCUGAAUAUGGGGGGACCAUCCUCCAAGGCUAAAUACUCCUGACUGACCGAUAGUGAACCAGUACCGUGAGGGAAAGGCGAAAAGAACCCCGGCGAGGGGAGUGAAAAAGAACCUGAAACCGUGUACGUACAAGCAGUGGGAGCACGCUUAGGCGUGUGACUGCGUACCUUUUGUAUAAUGGGUCAGCGACUUAUAUUCUGUAGCAAGGUUAACCGAAUAGGGGAGCCGAAGGGAAACCGAGUCUUAACUGGGCGUUAAGUUGCAGGGUAUAGACCCGAAACCCGGUGAUCUAGCCAUGGGCAGGUUGAAGGUUGGGUAACACUAACUGGAGGACCGAACCGACUAAUGUUGAAAAAUUAGCGGAUGACUUGUGGCUGGGGGUGAAAGGCCAAUCAAACCGGGAGAUAGCUGGUUCUCCCCGAAAGCUAUUUAGGUAGCGCCUCGUGAAUUCAUCUCCGGGGGUAGAGCACUGUUUCGGCAAGGGGGUCAUCCCGACUUACCAACCCGAUGCAAACUGCGAAUACCGGAGAAUGUUAUCACGGGAGACACACGGCGGGUGCUAACGUCCGUCGUGAAGAGGGAAACAACCCAGACCGCCAGCUAAGGUCCCAAAGUCAUGGUUAAGUGGGAAACGAUGUGGGAAGGCCCAGACAGCCAGGAUGUUGGCUUAGAAGCAGCCAUCAUUUAAAGAAAGCGUAAUAGCUCACUGGUCGAGUCGGCCUGCGCGGAAGAUGUAACGGGGCUAAACCAUGCACCGAAGCUGCGGCAGCGACGCUUAUGCGUUGUUGGGUAGGGGAGCGUUCUGUAAGCCUGUGAAGGUGUGCUGUGAGGUAUGCUGGAGGUAUCAGAAGUGCGAAUGCUGACAUAAGUAACGAUAAAGCGGGUGAAAAGCCCGCUCGCCGGAAGACCAAGGGUUCCUGUCCAACGUUAAUCGGGGCAGGGUGAGUCGACCCCUAAGGCGAGGCCGAAAGGCGUAGUCGAUGGGAAACAGGUUAAUAUUCCUGUACUUGGUGUUACUGCGAAGGGGGGACGGAGAAGGCUAUGUUGGCCGGGCGACGGUUGUCCCGGUUUAAGCGUGUAGGCUGGUUUUCCAGGCAAAUCCGGAAAAUCAAGGCCGAGGCGUGAUGACGAGGCACUACGGUGCUGAAGCAACAAAUGCCCUGCUUCCAGGAAAAGCCUCUAAGCAUCAGGUAACAUCAAAUCGUACCCCAAACCGACACAGGUGGUCAGGUAGAGAAUACCAAGGCGCUUGAGAGAACUCGGGUGAAGGAACUAGGCAAAAUGGUGCCGUAACUUCGGGAGAAGGCACGCUGAUACGUAGGUGAAGCGACUUGCUCGUGGAGCUGAAAUCAGUCGAAGAUACCAGCUGGCUGCAACUGUUUAUUAAAAACACAGCACUGUGCAAACACGAAAGUGGACGUAUACGGUGUGACGCCUGCCCGGUGCCGGAAGGUUAAUUGAUGGGGUUAGCGCAAGCGAAGCUCUUGAUCGAAGCCCCGGUAAACGGCGGCCGUAACUAUAACGGUCCUAAGGUAGCGAAAUUCCUUGUCGGGUAAGUUCCGACCUGCACGAAUGGCGUAAUGAUGGCCAGGCUGUCUCCACCCGAGACUCAGUGAAAUUGAACUCGCUGUGAAGAUGCAGUGUACCCGCGGCAAGACGGAAAGACCCCGUGAACCUUUACUAUAGCUUGACACUGAACAUUGAGCCUUGAUGUGUAGGAUAGGUGGGAGGCUUUGAAGUGUGGACGCCAGUCUGCAUGGAGCCGACCUUGAAAUACCACCCUUUAAUGUUUGAUGUUCUAACGUGGACCCGUGAUCCGGGUUGCGGACAGUGUCUGGUGGGUAGUUUGACUGGGGCGGUCUCCUCCUAAAGAGUAACGGAGGAGCACGAAGGUUGGCUAAUCCUGGUCGGACAUCAGGAGGUUAGUGCAAUGGCAUAAGCCAGCUUGACUGCGAGCGUGACGGCGCGAGCAGGUGCGAAAGCAGGUCAUAGUGAUCCGGUGGUUCUGAAUGGAAGGGCCAUCGCUCAACGGAUAAAAGGUACUCCGGGGAUAACAGGCUGAUACCGCCCAAGAGUUCAUAUCGACGGCGGUGUUUGGCACCUCGAUGUCGGCUCAUCACAUCCUGGGGCUGAAGUAGGUCCCAAGGGUAUGGCUGUUCGCCAUUUAAAGUGGUACGCGAGCUGGGUUUAGAACGUCGUGAGACAGUUCGGUCCCUAUCUGCCGUGGGCGCUGGAGAACUGAGGGGGGCUGCUCCUAGUACGAGAGGACCGGAGUGGACGCAUCACUGGUGUUCGGGUUGUCAUGCCAAUGGCACUGCCCGGUAGCUAAAUGCGGAAGAGAUAAGUGCUGAAAGCAUCUAAGCACGAAACUUGCCCCGAGAUGAGUUCUCCCUGACCCUUUAAGGGU